RNAcentral lists this long non-coding RNA (255 nucleotides) under Anser cygnoides (Swan goose). Its description in RNAcentral is "lncRNA (ENSACDG00005014673.1)". Lineage: Eukaryota; Metazoa; Chordata; Aves; Anseriformes; Anatidae. The record is from RNAcentral.
AUGAAAGUGACCCACCACGUUGGAAUAGAGGACAUUUGUAUCGUCACGUGCCUCAACAGUAUGAGCUGGUCUGGGGAAGCAGUCAGCCCUGCCCUUCAAACUGCGAUUGCAUCCAUGUGUGCUGCACAGGUUUUUUGUUCACUGGGUGAUCUUGAACUGGCCUUGCUAAAAGCUUCCCUGACAUUUCCAAAGGAGAUAAAUCUACCUAAAACCCUGGGAAGCAGAAGUGCUCCUCUGUUUGAAGGCAGUGAAUGA